GACGAACGCUGGCGGCGUGCUUAACACAUGCAAGUCGAACGGUGAACCUCUUCGGAGGGGAUCAGUGGCGAACGGGUGAGUAACACGUGGGCAACCUGCCCCCGGCUCUGGGAUAACUCCAAGAAAUUGGGGCUAAUACCGGAUGUUCACCGCUUCCCGCAUGGGUGGUGGUGGAAAGGGUUUCCGGCUGGGGAUGGGCCCGCGGCCUAUCAGCUUGUUGGUGGGGUAGUGGCCUACCAAGGCGACGACGGGUAGCCGGCCUGAGAGGGUGACCGGCCACCCGGGGACGGAGACACGGCCCAGACCCCACGGGGAGGGAGCGGUGGGGAAUUUUGCGCAAGGGGGGGAAGCCUGACGCAGGGACGCCGGGUGGGGGAUGACGGCCUUGGGGUUGUAAACCUCUUUCAGCAGGGACGAAGCGCAAGUGACGGUACCUGCAGAAGAAGCCCCGGACAACUACGG
Molecule: ribosomal RNA, 462 nt
Filed under: uncultured bacterium
Lineage: Bacteria
Description: partial 16S ribosomal RNA
Rfam family: Bacterial small subunit ribosomal RNA
Source: RNAcentral